CGCUUGUCCAGAUAGCCAUGCAUGUCUAAGUAUAAGUGUUGUACAGCGAAACUGCGAAUGGCUCAUUAAAACAGUUAUAGUUUAUUUGACAAUCGAAUUUACAUGGAUAACCGUGGUAAUUCUAGAGCUAAUACAUGCUGGUGUGCCCGACUUUUCGGAAGGGCGGUAUUUAUUAGAUAACAAGCCAAUAUUCCUCUGGUCUAUUGUGGUGACUCAUAAUAACUGAUCGAAUCGCAAGGCCUAUGGCCGCGAUAAGUCAUUCAAGUUUCUGCCCCAUCAGCUUUCGAUGGUAGUGUAUUGGACUACCAUGGCGUUUACGGGUAACGGAGGAUUAGGGUUCGAUUCCGGAGAGGGAGCCUGAGAAACGGCUACCACAUCUAAGGAAGGCAGCAGGCGCGUAAAUUACCCAAUCCUGAUUCAGGGAGGUAGUGACAAGAAAUAACGGACCGAGGCCUUCGGGCUUCGGGAUUGCAAUGAGCCGAAUUUACACCCCUUAGCGA
This 500-nucleotide ribosomal RNA is filed under the name uncultured eukaryote. Its description in RNAcentral is "SSU rRNA". It matches the Rfam family "Eukaryotic small subunit ribosomal RNA", at positions 30 to 540 of the family's 1831-position model. The record is from RNAcentral.